UACGGGGGGGGCAAGCGUUGUUCGGAAUUACUGGGCGUAAAGGGCUCGUAGGUGGCCAACUAAGUCAGACGUGAAAUCCCUCGGCUUAACCGAGGAACUGCGUCUGAUACUGGAUGGCUUGAGUUUGGGAGAGGAAUGCGGAAUUCCAGGUGUAGCGGUGAAAUGCGUAGAUAUCUGGGGGAACACCGGUGGCGAAGGCGGCAUUCUGGACCAAUACUGACGCUGAGGAGCGAAAGCCAGGGGAGCAAACGGG
Molecule: ribosomal RNA, 253 nt
Filed under: uncultured bacterium
Lineage: Bacteria
Description: partial 16S ribosomal RNA
Rfam family: Bacterial small subunit ribosomal RNA
Source: RNAcentral